Molecule: long non-coding RNA, 481 nt
Organism: Felis catus (domestic cat)
Lineage: Eukaryota; Metazoa; Chordata; Mammalia; Carnivora; Felidae
Exons: 3
Source: RefSeq, a predicted model, not a curated record
GAUGGAUCAGUUCCAGUCACCAGAACUGUAAGACAUCAACUGAAGGAUACUUAAAUCCUUUGGAGGGAGUGUGGCCCUGCUGGCACCUUGAUUUUGGCCCAUUGAAACUGAGCUUAGACUUCUGACCUGAAGACUAUAAAGGAAUGCAUUUGUGUUGUUUUAAGUAAUUUGUUACAGGAGACAUAGGUUAUAAAAACCCUCAUGUGAGAGAUGCCCUCUUCCCAUACCCAGAGAGAAGGAGCAUCUGUCUCUUUGAAGAUAAAGAGAUGCCAAGAAGAAUCCUAACAAGCUUUGCCUUGUUAAUCAUCUCCCAGUUUAUUACAAUUGCUCCAUACUCCUUAGUCUAUCACAACCUCCACAUGUAUCCCUCAUCAAACUGAGAGUAAAAACACACAGGUCCAACCAUUCCUUUAGUCUUCGUUUCCUUAUGAAGGCUCCCAUGUCAUGUAAAAUUUACAGUAAAUAAAUCUGUAUGCUUUUC